Anas platyrhynchos (mallard) is the source of this 5250-nucleotide RNA transcript. It is a transcript of the gene named electron transfer flavoprotein regulatory factor 1, with no coding region annotated. The record is from RefSeq and is a predicted model, not a curated record. NCBI's taxonomy places the organism in Eukaryota, Metazoa, Chordata, Aves, Anseriformes, Anatidae.
GGUGACGGCGGCGCCCAGCGGCGGGGCGGUGCCGCGCCGUGCGGCCCUGCCGUGAAGCGGCGCGCUGUUACGACAGGGCGCGCGGCCGGGGAGCCCCUGACCUUCCCCUCCGCACCGGGGGACCCAGUAAGUGCCCCCGCAAAUAGCCCCGUCUGGGUAAAUUAAAGACGCAAGCAAUCACGCAGGGCUGCAGAGUUCGGGGAAAUGGGAGAAUGGCCAGCUCGUUACGAGGGGAAGUGCUGAAUCUUUACAAAAACCUGCUGUACCUCGGAAGGGAGUACCCCAAGGGAGCAGACUACUUUAGAAGCCGUUUGAAAGCAGCUUUUCUAAAAAAUAAAGAUGUGAAAGAUCCCGAAAAAAUCAAACAGCUAAUUGCCCGAGGAGAAUUUGUGAUAAAAGAGUUGGAGGCUUUGUACUUCCUCAGAAAAUACAGAGCAAUGAAACAGCGCUACUAUGAUGACAAGGAGUAACCGGUAUUAAUGACUAUAACUAAAUUACACUGGAGAUGGAACAGAAAUAAUCUUUGAAAUAUAGGCAUUGCUAGUUCAAGAACCAACACUCAAAGAAUACUGGCACUUUAAGAGGAAUGAAGUUUCCACUGUCAUUUAAAACAAGCAUUCAGAAGGCAUCAUCAACACCCUGAAAAAACACAGAGGUGCACACAUUAAGAUCACAUUAACAGACUUAAUUGUCUAGGUAAGUACAGUCUGUUUUCAUCUGACCAGAUGAAGUGACUUCAGGUGAAGUGUGUUCAAUCAGCACUGUUGCUGCCUGCCAGGAGAGCUGACACUGUCUUCUUGCCGAAGCCUUUACAACAUCCCUAAAUCAAGCUGUGCAUUGGAGGAAUUGCUGGGGCACCAACACCCUCUCGAGCAUUUCUAGAUUUUGGAAAUGGGCACCUUGGGAAAAAUGGAUUGAGAUGGAUGGGGGACUACAGUUGUCUCCUGUCACAUGAGAUGCAUGUCUAACUGCAUCACGUCUAACUGCAUCACUGUACAUGGGCAGCAGGGCCCACAGGAGAGCAGCUCUAGGCAACAGCCAGCCAGUCAAGCAUUUGAACAAGUCCUGGCUACAGGCGUUCCUCUCCUGAGGUCUGAGGAACACUAAGACACCCAAAUGAACUAUUCUGACACCAGCAACAGCUAGCAUCAUCUGCCUGCCCUUUCUCUACUAUUCCCAAGCUGGACUUAGAGCAGCCUGCGGGUGAGUUACUGCCCAGGAGCUGACCACAGACAUCUGCAGAUACAACUCCGUUAAUAAUGUGACUCGGGAACAUGUACUGCUCUCCUGUCCACAUAGGUGGGGCAUAUGUUGUCCCACCUCAGACUAGAAAAGCACAGGUACCGCAUCUUUAGAUUCCAAGUAUAUUACUGCUACUAGAUUUCAGAAUAAAACUCUGAAGCAUUAGCUACCUUUGCUUAUGCCUUAAUAAUCUACAUGGCUUUUAAAAGUAACUAUAACUAUUUGCAGCAAUAAUUUGGUACCAAAGAGAUAGUUAUGAUUAAUCUACAUAUUCAUGUCAUUUGUCAUGCACACUAAUACAGUAAUCACACCAUAGUGUUGUUUUGUUGUUUUUUCUUAAUCGUCAGAUAAGCAAGACAAUCAAAUCAAUCCCGCAUUGCAAUGAUAGAUUAGUAUUUGAUAAAUCAUUCCAUUCAACCUAUAUGAAGACACAUGAAACACAUUAGCUGUGUAUUCUAUCACGUACAGUCAUUUAAAAUCUCCACAGCUCCAACAGUCAAGCUACAGACACAAAUGCUAAUGUUUCUUCACACUAAGUAACUUCUCCACUUUGGGGGAGGGGAUAAUUAUAACUGAGGAAAAUUAGCUGUUUUGACCAGAAAUCUGUAUGCCUGAUGUGAACCAUAAUCAAGUAGAGUGUUAUAAAGUAUACUUGUAUACAUACUUGAAAUGACCUAUUUAUGUGAUACAGUUUAUUUAUAUUAUUGCCUACCUUUCAGGUUGCCCCAAAUCCCAACUGAGUAUCUGCGUUCUCAGUAAGCCCUUUACAUUUAAUACUGAUAGUUAUAAAAAAUACUAAGAAAAACUUAAUUUUUCACUGCCUUACUCCUUGCGUUAUCUUUUAGAUAUGUCAGAAGUAAUUGUGUAAUGUUAAUGCAUCACAGUAGCCAACUGCACCACUAUAGAAACUGAUCUAGAAAUUUGGCCCUACAACUGACAGGCAGCUUUCUACCUCUUCUCAGCUAGUUUGCCUUCAAGCUGACAAUUAAAAUCAAGUCUUAGUUUAUUCCUGUAUACCUACUUCAGCGGAAGAGCAUAAAGUGAACUCCAAAAAAAGGGCAAAAAUAAAAUGUCAAAAAAUCAGCUUAUUCAUUGCUGUUUCAGUCAACUACCAAAUGGUGAUGAAAACAUUAUAUGUUAAGUCCAAAUGACAGUGAGAUGUUAACUAGCUACACCUAGAAAGCAAUGCUUCCAGUAUAACAAAUUUAUUAAAAGUUUUCAUGUGUCAAGUUUAUAAACAUGUUUACAAAUAACUAAUGUUAGAUCAAAGUCCUUAGUAGCUCUACCACCAAAACUAAUAGUACACUAUGCAACAUCUCAUGACAUAUAAAAUACUCUUGCAAUUAAGUUUCUCUUAGUUUUAAAGUGCUAUUUGUCAAAAUAAAAUUGAUGUACCACACCUAGCAAAAGUACCCACAGUUCUGGAAAAGGUUAUGUCUUUUGAAAGUUAGAAAAGCUAGGUAUUAUUUCAUAGACAGCUACUUUAUUUUACUUAUAACUUCAGCAUUAUUGCACAAAGUAUAUUUGGCAAUGUUCAUGUAGGGAAAUGAUCUACAAAUAGCAAUGGUUCAAAGCAUAUCUUCUGCAGUUCUCAUCUCAGACAGCCAACUAGGAGGAAAGUAGUAAUCAUCAGUCACAAUAGAGAACAGUUUCAUUCUUAGAACAACAAGAAAAACUUCUGUACAAUAUUCAUCUACAGGACUAUUCAUAUUUCCUUACAAAACUACUUUAGCACUUUUUACUGUGCUAGAAAAGCAUUCAUUACAAGGACAGUUGUUAGCCCUAAGUGGCAUCUUCUAAGACAAACUAAACAGAAAUUGAAAUUGAAGUCUUCAAGUAAGCAGUCUACCUUCCUUAAACUAUAUUUUGAGUAAAUACAGAGAAAGCAACUCAUACAAAGUAAUAUUGUGGGCCUUUAAUCACAGGACUUCACAACUAAGGUUGAAAUCUUAUUCUAUCUAGUAAGGUGUUGAUCUUUUAAAUACACUGCAUGUUGCAAAAUACUUGUGAAGAACAACUUUCAUCCUUGCAUUUACACCUUUGUAACGCAAGCUUUUAAAGUUAUUAAUGACAUAUAUACUAGUUUCUGUAUUUGAACAGAAAUUCCUUUUAAAGUUAGGUAAUAUAACAUACAAAGCAUUUAGAAUAUUUGUGUUAGGACUGAGGGAUUCAAAAUAAGCUGAUCUUUCAGUCUGUGGAUUAAACGUUAAAAAUGAAAUUAGAACACAAGUGGAAACUCUGUUUAGAGAAAUUCCCUAAAGGCAUCAAUACUACAAAAUCAAAUGUGGUCAGCUUCCCCAGUUACUUUUUUCAGUAGCAAUGGACAGCAUGCAGCUGACUUUUCUCCCUCUAACAAUGGAGUUAUUGUGCACAAACUUUUCAGGAAGCGUAAGAUGUACUGAAUGAAUGAGUGCUUUAAAUCCAGGCUUAGGAUUAGAAACUCAAAAUAUAUGAUGUAUGCUCUGAGCUCUACCACACAGCCACAAUAAAUGUAUAUUUUCUCUGAAAAACAGAGGCUGAGAGUAGGUUACUGCAUACAGUACAGAGCUUGCUCUUGACUCUUGUUUUUCCAAAGAGCAUCUAAGAAACAUGAAAGGAACAGAAAAAUCCCACUGUUCCUGCAGAAACAACUUGAUCCUGGCUACAGCUUCUCUUUGGGGCACCACAGUUCUAUCAUCCUUUGGCCAUACAGAAAUCUGGAUGUCUGGUUAUGUGGUUACAGGCAUGUGUGCGACUUGGCAAGUAAGCUGGAUCUAUCAAUAAGAAACCAUAAAAUCAUAAGGAAUUAGGAUUCCUAAAGGACUGCAGCCUCAAAAAGAUCUUUACAAAAGUUUAAAAUCGUGGAAGAGUCUUUUAAAUAUAUUUAAUAAAUACUACAACACACACACAACAGUUGUGAGAAAGUUAACAUGUAUCUCUCUGUAGUUCCAUGGAAAAAUCAUUAAAUUACUUUUAAGCAAAAAUCUAGAAGUUAAUGAACUUUCAUAAAUUAAGUAUUUUUACUAACACAGCUCAAUCUGAAUUGCUUGUCUAGAUGCUUAAUUUAUACCAUAGAGUAGCUUUUCAUUAUAGUAUGUUUUUUUUAAAUGUAAAAACUUCUUAAUGCUUUCGAGAGAGAAAUCAUUUGGGAUCUUACACUGAGUUUCAGAAUUUUCUCCUUGCUUGUUGGAAAUGAAAAAAAGGUUUUGUGUACUUUCUGCUUUGUGUAACAACCAAAGGAAUUAAAAUAUUGGAAAGUGUCAGCAGUUAAUAAUAAUCUGGGUAGUACAAGGUUGCUCAAAACUUUGACAAGAUCGAAGUAACUAAAAAGGCACCUUGUAAGCGGCAAUAAGAUAACUGAAUAUUCCUAGAGGUACCAAAAUGCUCUGAACCAUCAAAUUUGACUACCCACAGACAUGAAAGGAAAAUAAAUACUGUGCAUCACUUCAAAGCGUGCUAUAGUGAGUAUUUCUGAAGUUUUGAAUACCAGCUGAAAAACUUGCAUCAUUAGGUGCUGCUCUCCUUAGCUUUUCUACUAUACAGCAGACUGAAAUAAAAUACAUAUGUCAUGGAAUGGGAAUUAAUACAAGCCAGAGUGUUUUAAAUGCUGGACUUCUUAUGCCACUAGAAUCACUACUAAAUUACAGCUGUACCACAAGAAUUUUGGAGUACGCCUCCUCCAGCUUAACCUCCUGCAUAUGAAGUUGCUGAAAUGACUAUCAAUACUUUGAAGAUUUUUAAAGGAAUUCAUUUGAGUAUGAAGAUGAAUGUCUUCUCUCCUGAGCAGGCACUCUGCAAGUUCUACAGUCUUGUAUCCAAGACUAUUUUUGAAAUAGGAUAUGGAAAAAAGAAACAAUAUCCAUUGCUGACAGAAGAGAUUUCCCCUGAUAUGGGGAAAAAAUAAGAUGACAUACUUCUUUUGGAAGCAGGCAGAAAGAAAAUAGAAAGCAGGUAAAAAGAAAGCAUACAUCCCCUGAGCUAUAUUAAAAAAAAAAAAAAAAAAAAAAGAGAAUCCCAGAAUCUGAAAAA